Molecule: non-coding RNA, 82 nt
Organism: Acanthosepion pharaonis
Lineage: Eukaryota; Metazoa; Mollusca; Cephalopoda; Sepiida; Sepiidae
Source: the annotation of a GenBank genome assembly
CAUACGAUCACCUAAGUUAAGCAACAUCGAGCCAGGUCAGUACCUAGAUGGGUGACCGCUUGGGAAUACCAGGUGCUGUAAG